This 1071-nucleotide ribosomal RNA is filed under the name Vibrio sp. 2-2(8). Its description in RNAcentral is "partial 23S ribosomal RNA". It matches the Rfam family "Bacterial large subunit ribosomal RNA", at positions 698 to 1770 of the family's 2925-position model. The record is from RNAcentral. Lineage: Bacteria; Pseudomonadati; Pseudomonadota; Gammaproteobacteria; Vibrionales; Vibrionaceae.
AGUCUCUGGAUAUAGACCCGAAACCGGGUGAUCUAGCCAUGGGCAGGUUGAAGGUUGAGUAACAUCAACUGGAGGACCGAACCGACUAAUGUUGAAAAAUUAGCGGAUGACUUGUGGCUAGGGGUGAAAGGCCAAUCAAACUCGGAGAUAGCUGGUUCUCCCCGAAAGCUAUUUAGGUAGCGCCUCGGACGAAUACUACUGGGGGUAGAGCACUGUUAAGGCUAGGGGGUCAUCCCGACUUACCAACCCUUUGCAAACUCCGAAUACCAGUAAGUACUAUCCGGGAGACACACGGCGGGUGCUAACGUCCGUCGUGGAGAGGGAAACAACCCAGACCGCCAGCUAAGGUCCCAAAUUACUACUAAGUGGGAAACGAUGUGGGAAGGCUCAGACAGCCAGGAUGUUGGCUUAGAAGCAGCCAUCAUUUAAAGAAAGCGUAAUAGCUCACUGGUCGAGUCGGCCUGCGCGGAAGAUGUAACGGGGCUAAGUAGUAAACCGAAGCUGCGGCAAUACAGUUUACUGUAUUGGGUAGGGGAGCGUUCUGUAAGCCGUUGAAGGUGUGUUGUAAAGCAUGCUGGAGGUAUCAGAAGUGCGAAUGCUGACAUGAGUAACGAUAAGGGGGGUGAAAAACCUCCCCGCCGGAAGACCAAGGGUUCCUGUCCAACGUUAAUCGGGGCAGGGUAAGUCGACCCCUAAGGCGAGGCUGAAAAGCGUAGUCGAUGGGAAACGGGUUAAUAUUCCCGUACUGCUUAUAAUUGCGAUGGGGGGACGGAGAAGGCUAGGUGGGCCAGGCGACGGUUGUCCUGGUUCAAGUGCGUAGGCUAAGAGACUAGGUAAAUCCGGUUUCUUGUUAGGCUGAGACACGACGUCGAGCUGCUACGGCAGUGAAGUCAUUGAUGCCCUGCUUCCAGGAAAAGCCUCUAAGCUUCAGAUUAUAAGCAAUCGUACCCCAAACCGACACAGGUGGUCGGGUAGAGAAUACCAAGGCGCUUGAGAGAACUCGGGUGAAGGAACUAGGCAAAAUGGUACCGUAACUUCGGGAGAAGGUACGCUCUUAUUGGUGAAGUCCCU